This 9660-nucleotide long non-coding RNA is filed under the name Coffea arabica (coffee). Its description in RNAcentral is "long non-coding RNA (CARA_LNC003723)". Lineage: Eukaryota; Viridiplantae; Streptophyta; Magnoliopsida; Gentianales; Rubiaceae. The record is from RNAcentral.
ACAUAACAAUAACCAAAUCUAAAACCAAAUUAUACAUGUGAAGCAAGUAGAGUUAUUGUCAUCCACAUCGUAAUGAAACCAUAAGCAAACACGCUCAGCAACUCUACUUUAAGGUUGUACUCCAUCCACAUUGAUUCCAGCAUGCAGAACAGUAUCAAGCAGCCCCUUUAAAUUUUGCAUCAUAUUCAUAUGGUUGCAAGAAGAUUGCUGAAAUCAAUCGGCGAGCAAACCAUCGCUUGUGCAUGGCUUGUUGAGCGCGUGCUGAAGCCUCCACAUUCUCAAAGCGCAAAUAAACAUAGCCAGCACUAUUCUUGUCCACAUGGAUAUGCUUCACCGGGCCAUAGUUUGAACAUUCUUCACGCACAUCAUCCCUGAUGUCCAAAUCAAAUUCUGGAUCCGUCUCAGUUGCAGGAUCAAACAUAUUCUUCAAAAGUAAACACUCGCUUGGGUUGCCAAUGGGCUCUGGGGGCAUUAAAACUUGUGCUGGAAGUACUGGAGCAGACAUUGCUGUAGGUGCAACCAUGGGCAUGGUUAUGGAUUGUUGUGCAGGAGUUGCGCCAUUAAGCGCAGGUACUCCAAGGGAACCAGCAACACUUGACGCAAUCCCACUACGAUCCAGUUUUGCCAUUAGCAUUGCUCUUGAUUGAGCAUUCAAAGCCAAUCCACCUCCAUCAUCAUCAUCAAAAUCGGCAGUUUUCUGCCCUGAAUCUUGCACUCCAACAUGAUCCAUAACAGAUGAAACCUUAAUAGUUCGACCAGCAAUCUCCAAUUUCCCAUUUAGAACUUGCGCAGCCUUUGCAUGUUCUAGUUGAGCAAAUUGAACAAAGCCAAAACCUUUGCAAUGUCCAGUCUCAGGAUCAGUAGGCAGCUGUACAAGUUCAACGGGCCCAAAUGCUUCAAAAAUCUGUUUAAGCUGAAAUUCAGUCAUGUUGAAAUGUAAAUUUCCAACAUAGAGUUUCCUAUCUGUUGCACCAUAUGGGCCCACAACGCUUGAAUUACUGGAAGCAUUUGAUGGAACAAGGUUCUUUUCUGCCUCUGAUGGUUUAACCAUAACAGGCUGUCCAAGAAGUAGAUGCCCAGAUAGAGCAAUUGCCAUCGGCACAGACACGGAAUCAAAGAACUCAAUGUACCCAACUCCUUUUGAUCUCCUCGAAUUUCGAUCCAUGAUAAGACGUACAUCCCUCGCCUUUCCUGCUUUUGAGAAAAACUCGUAAACAUCCCUCUCAGUUGCCUUCAAGGGCAUCUGGUAAGCAAAUACUGUUCUCUAAUCCCUUUCUGGGUCAGCCUCAGGUUCCACCGCUUCUUUCUUUUCUUUAAAUCUCCUGCUUUCCCUCAUCUCGAGCUCGCGCUCUCGUUCCCUGAUCAACUCUCUCUCCCUUUCACGAUCGAGCCUGGACCUGCUUCGGCUCCUCCUUGACCUCUCCAUUUCCUUCGACCUCUCCCUUUCCCUAGACCUCUCCCUUUCCCUAUCUCUUUCCUUCUCCUUUUCCUUGUCCUAUUUUUUUCUAAUUUUUUCUAAUUUUUUCAUUUUUACUUUUAAAUAAUGAAACUAAAUCCAAAACAACUAAAACAUAUUUUUUGAACGCUUUUCUUUUUCCUUUAAGAAAUUCUACGCUAAAAUGGCUAAAAGAACUAAAACUAAAAGUAAAUAAAACUAAUUGUGACAAAUAGAAAUAGAACAAAUAAAAAACGAAUAGUAAAUAAAUAAUAAAACACCAAAAAUUUGGUGUCUACAGUUUGCCCCUCUUUGUCUGAGUUUUGAAAAAACUUGAGACAAAAAAGUAGACACCAAAUACUUACCUGUGUUAUUUGGCUGCAUUAAACUUGAACGACUGACACUCUAGAAAUGAGGAUUGACCUCUUUUGACAAAAAUUUUUGAAAUGGGACUGACCCAGACAAGAAAAUUAAACAGAAAAUUUUAAUCGGGACUGACCCGAGACAGGAAAUUUAAAAUCGGACUGGCCCGAACAGGAAUUUAAAACGGGACUGACCCAAACAGGAAUUUAAAACGAGACUGACCCGAACAGAAAUUUAAAACGGGACUGACCCGAACAGGAAAUUUAAAACGGGACUGACCCGAACAGGAAAUUUAAAACGGGAUAGACCCGGACAGAAAUGUAAACGGGAUAGACCCGGACAGAAAUGUAAAUGGGAUAGACCCGGACAGAAAUUUAAAUGGGAUAGACUCACGGGAUAGACCCGAACAGAAAACAUAAAUGAGAUAGACCCACGGGAUAGACCCGGACAGAAAUGUAAACGGGAUAGAUCCGGACAGAAAUGUAAAUGGGAUAGACCCACGGGAUAGACCCGGACAGAAAUGUAAACGGAAUAGAUCCGGACAGAAAUGUAAAUGGGAUAGACCCACGGGAUAGACCCGGACAGAAAUUUAAAUGGGAUAGACCCACGGGAUAGACUUGGACAGAAAUGUAAAUGGGAUAGAUCCGGACAGAAAUGUAAACGGGAUAGACCCGGACAGAAAUGUAAACGAGAUAGACCCGGACAGAAAUGUAAAUGGGAUAGACCCACGGGAUAGACCCGGACAGAAAUUUAAAUGGGAUAGACCCAGACAGAAAUGUAAAUGGGAUAGACCCACGGGAUAGACCCGGACAGAAAUAUAAAUGGGAUAGACCCAAACAGAAAAUUUAAAACGGGAUAGACCCGAACAGGAAAUUUAUAACGGGAUAGACCCGAACAAGAAAUUUAAAAAUCAUGGGACUGGCCCGAAUAAAAUAAAAUCAUGGAGUGCUCACUAGUGGGACUGACCCACGGCUAGUGGCGGUGCAAAAAAGGAAAUGCUCACUAGUGGGACUGACCCACGGCCAGUGGCAGUGAAAAUGAAAGACACGCUAGUGGGACUGACCCAACGGCUAGCGGCGAAAUAAAAGAAAAUGCUCACUGGCGGGACUAACCUACGCUCCAGUGGCUGUGAAAAUGAAAUGCUUACUGGCGGGACUAACCCACGCUCCAGUAGCGAUGUAAAUGAAAUGCUUACUGGCGGGACAAACCCCCGCUUCAGUGGCUGUGAAAAUGAAAUGAACACUGGCGGGACUAACCUCACGCUCUAGUGGCUGUGAAAAUGAAAUGCUCACUGGCGGGACUAACCUCACGCUCCAGUGGCGAUGUAAAUGAAAUGCCUUGACAAUCGGACAGUGGGAUCAAACCCGAGCCUAACGUGAUGAACUUGAUUUGAUUUUUUGAUUUUUUUGAUUUUUGAUUUUUUUGAUUUUUCGAGAGAAUCUUUUUCAAAAAUAAUUUGCCCCAAUGUAGGGCCCUUUUCCCUUUUUUCUUCUCUUUCUUCGGCAUCGGCCUUCCACAACUCAGAAGCUCUUUCGUUGAUUUCAACUAUGAAUACCUGCACAGGGGUUUGCCAAAAUAUGACAUGCACUUAAAAAAUUAAUGCCACUACUACUCAUGGAAAGAGUAGCGUGAUUGAUUUGAACAUCUUGCUUGAAUCUUUGACGAAAUCCUCAAAUGAACUAUAAAAAAUUUGCCCCAGUGUGGGCUUCUUUUGCGAAAUCUUGCAAAUAAAAAUUUUGCCCCAGUGUGAGCCCAUUUGAUUCCAAAAAUUGGUUUGGAUGCCUCUCCGUUUAUUUGAACAAAGUAAGAAACUGUGUUUCCUAUAUAAUGUGAAGAAAUCUGAACGUCUUGCUCAAACUUACACAGAAAAUUUCACGAUGAAUUUCUCAAAAUAAUGCCGAAAAAGAUUUCUUCCUCACUUUUAACAUCAGUGCUUAGGGUAACGGGUCACCACCUCUUAUUGGCUCAAAUUUCAGGAGCAAUCCAGUGAUCUUAUUUCUGAUUUUUGAGGGGGUUAAGGGAAAUGAUAAGUCAAAAUUUGUCUGGUUCUUGUGCUCAAAAUUGUAAUCCAUUCAACAUCACAUCUUAGUGAAAGCAGAGAGUUUGUCACCCUUAUUUCUUAAGAAAAUUGAGUCAACAUAUAAGCUUUAAGCUUGCAACAAAUGGGUAGGAACGAUAGCUAAACAUGUGAAAACUGGUUAUACCCUUAUGAUCACAAAUGAUUAAUGGAUUUUCUUAUGAGCAUAAUCCUCACUUUGGAUGGUCAUGAAGAAAUAAGUCAACGAUGGACUUUAUUAGCUUGUAAUGUGGCUUGAAACGAUAGUUGAAGGAUAAGUCUUUCAAGGACAUUGCACCGAAGAUCGCAUUUUUCCAAAAUUGCCCCUAAUCUGAACUCAAAGAUCUCAGAAUUUGUUUGUAUUCUUCUCAUCAUUCACCAGGGACUUCAGCGUCGAAUUUUUCUGCAUUUUCUUGCAUUUACUUUUCUUGCCUUGCUUUUUGCCUCUUUUUCCUUUCUCUCAACUUGGUAGAUUUGCACAUGGUGAGUAGCGUCAACCCCAUACCCAAGCAAUUCAGAAAUACAGCUAAAAUUUUUCGGCAUCAAAAAUUUUCUUGACAGGGCCAUUGCAAAGAACAGAAGUCAGAACUUUUGGCUUUUGUAAUGGGGUUUGGUGGGGUGCUUAAAAAAGUUAAGGUUUGAAGGCAGAUUUCAAGAGUGGUUUAAGUAAUCUGAGAUCGCACUGUUGUGCCAACCCUAUUUUAGGGUUAAAUCAAAAUUUGCCAGAGCUUGUGCUCAAUUGAGGCUUUUUCUCUUUCAUUUUCUUUCGAUUUUUCGGCCUUCUGCCAUUUUUUGAACUUUCACAAAAUUUGCCCAAGUUUAUUUUUGAACUGAGCUUCUCUUUUCUUCUUUUGUCUUUUGAUUUUGCGGCAUUAUCACUUUUCACUUCUUGAAAUUUUUCCUUUUUCAACUCAAACUUGCCCCCAGUGUGGGGUUUGCGAUUCUUAGGGAUUGUCAAACGAAGUAUUUUAUUCUGAAGGUUCAAAAGGGAUAACUAGGGAUAGAAUACCUGAUCGGAAAAGAAGAGGGUCUGAUUUUUAUUCUGUUCCUUACAAUAACUCUGAAAGGAAACUUUCAUUAAUGGGAAAUUUCUGGCAUGUAUCUGAAUUAACUGACUGAGGAAGACCCUUGUUCAUCCAUAUCUGUGAAACAUAGGCGGUCCGUGCGGACAAAUCUCUUCCUUUUCUCUUUUUUUUUUCAAAAUUGGACCCCAAGUGGAAUCAAAUUUCCCCAAUUUGCGGUUCCCUCCUUAUUCUAGCAUUUUUGCUUUUCCCUUUUUCUUUUUUUUUCUUUUUCAACAUUCCCCAAUCUCCUUCCCCAAUGUGGGGUGCGAUCAUAUGUGUACUAAAAAAGAACCACCACUUUUUAGCUCAAAUGAGGAUGCAAGGGAUGAUCAGUGUUUAGGUUGUAGAAACGAUGACCAAAGUAUCAUUCUUACGCCUCAUGACAACCAAGUAAACGAAUUGCUCAUUGAGAAUCCAUUCCCUUUUGAAAAUCUUCCCAAUGUAGGGUAGUGAUCAUUAAGGCUCUUAUUUGAAACGAAAUUAUUCUUUCAAAGGCUCAAAUGGGAGAGCAAAUGAUAAAAUGUGUAUAGGUAGAGAAAAGAAUGCUCGAAGUAUCAUUCCAAAUUUUCAAAACAAACAAGAAUAAUGCACAUUUUUGCUUUCACUUAGAUGUGAUUGAAUCAGAUUAGUCAUCACGGACAUUUUCAAGCAAAAGUUGCCCCAAUUUGCAAUUUAUCAAUCAAUGUGACUGAUUUUAUUUUGGGGUUAAGUGAAGGAGAAAGACAUCUCAUGGGUCUUCUGAGUGACCUCUUUUAAUUUUGAGCACUCUUAUUGUGUAGCUCGGAUCACCCAUCUAGUGUACACAAGGAUUUUAGAAAGCAUACACUUACGAAUUUUCAGGCUGGAGGUUGAAAAAACUUUCAAUUUGGUCUUAUUUCUUAAAAUUCAUCAUGAAAUCUCUUAAUGAGCUCAAUAAAGGAUGAAAUGUACACGAGUAUUAUACAAAACAAGUAAUUGUCUGAACAAAAGCUUUAUUAUUGCUAAUGUUUGAAAAAUUUAAAGAGCAAUACAUAUGAAAAAUAUUCUAAGGAACUCCUUUACACAUGUAUACACACUUUUCCCUCUUAAUAGCCCCCUUCUCCCUUUGAGCAAUGAAAUCUCUUAAAUGUUUUACACAAGCGUUUUCAGAUGAAUUUUCAAAUUCACAUUGCAGGGCCUGCCCAAGAAUCAUGUAAUUUUCAAACUUUAUCAGAUCAGAAUUGUUUUCAUACUUUAUUUCAUGUUUUCAAGUUUUAUGAAAUUUUUAUGAAUGCAGGGAAGGGGGAAAACAAAAGAAAAAUACCCAGAGUUAGUAAUCAAGACUAUAAAAUCAGUAUGCAUGCCCUAUGGGGGAACCCUUUUUGUGCCAAGGGUAGACCUAGCAUGAAAAUGCAAUCCUCUGAGGUAGGCACUAUACCAUACCUGAUGAAUCCGAUCAACUGAUUGAGUGAAAAAUAAUUUGAAAAAUUUGGCCAAUUGGAGUGACGAGAGACAUUUGUCAAAAAGAGGACAACGUCCGAAUGAAUUGAUCACAAAUGCACGGGUUUGACCUUGACGAACUUCCUAUCGAAGAGAUUGGAAUUCAGUGACAAAUUUUCUCAGUGAAGCAUGGGUCAAAACUCUAACUGAUCAAAUGGCUAAAUGCAAUGGAUGGUUUUCUCAAAAUCGACUAGGCUUCCCAAUUUGAAAUUCGACCUUGAAACCCUAAUUAGUCAAAUGGGUUGAAUGAAAUUUGAUUAUUUAUUCAAAAAUGAAUGGAUAACCCUAAAAAUGAAUUAAACUAAUCCAAGGAAUUGAAUGAAAUCAAUUGAUCAAACCGAUCGAGUGAAAGGAUGAUUUAUUCAAAAUUGACCGAAUCGCCCUAAAAAUAGGUAAACUGGUCAAAUGGAUCGGAUGAUUUAUUCAAAAUUGAUUAGAUCACCCUAAAAGGGUAAACUUGGUCAAAUGAAAUUGAACGAAUCUGAUGAUUUGAAUUUAUUCAAAAUCAAUUGAGUUGACCUAAGAAUGGGUAAACUAAUCAAAUGAAUUGAAUGAAAUUGGUGAUCUUAUUUAAAAAUCGACUAGAUUGCCCUAAAAUGGAUAAACUAGUCAAAUGAAUUCAAAAUCGACUAGAUUGCCCUAAAAAUGAACAAAUUGAUAAAAUAGACUGGAUGAAAUUGAGGAAUCAAAUGAUCCAAUAGACUGAAUGGCUUGAUGUAUUAGUCUAUGAGCCUUCUAAAAUCAAAUUUUGGCUUCAGUUUAUUUAUCGUCUCAUCAGUGAGGAAAUAUUGGUGAAUGUUCCAAUUAAUGUCCUUUACGCCAGGGAUUUUACCAAUUUUGAUAAAGUGGCUAAGAAGUGAUUAUUAGAUGCUCAUAUUCCAAAAAUUGCUCUAUAAAAAUGAUCGGAUCCUACCUUACCUUGUGCACUACCCCUUUGGAUGGUACAAAAUGUAAACGUGCAAAUCUCCUUGGAUUAAGUAUCCGAGACACAAGGUGGCUUAUUCCUAACACGGGAUCCCCUAAAUGGCAUUCCCUUCUAGGGUUUAUGCAUGAUGCCAGUUUAUUAAAGCGAUGUAAAUAUGUGACAAAUAUGACCUAAGGGACAUAAAUAAUGCAUCGGGGGGCAAAAGGUCUAAAAUAAAAUGUACUUAUUGAAAAUUAAGUGUAAUAACUGAAAUUUAAAUAUGUGAGAUAUCUAGUGGGUAAGUCACUAAAAAAGUGCCAAAAAAGCCUCUUAUUGCUAAGACAUAUGAAUGCAAGCCAAGAAAACAAAAGAAUGGUUAGUGCAAUUGAUAGUACACAUAACAUGUUGGGAGCAAUAAAAAAAAAAGAAAUACAAUAAAAACAAGUAAAAGGGGUGGAACCCCUUCCCUCGUGCCUAAUGUGCUUAAAAAAGGUGAGGCUGACUCUAACCUAGGAAAAUUCUAAUAUGGAUGCAUGAGACUGGGGUUCACUAAUACAACUAGACUCGAUAAGGUUUAAAAGGUCCCCAAGCCUUCAGACCUAAGGGAAUAGGUCAUCAAUCCCAAGACUUUCGAUCGGUGGCUCGAGCGGUCCCCUAGAUAUUGCUAUGGCGCAGAGCACACCAUCCACAUACCUAGAGAAACCAUUCCUAGUCCUACAAGGCGGUGUGGGAAAGAGCCCACGAAAAAUAAAAUAAAAAUGGGAUAACAGUAAAUAAACGUGCACGUAUGAAGUGUUCCCUAUUUUGAGGGAAAGGGUUGAGAACCAACGCGAGGCUCUAAAGGUGACACACCCCCCCCCAAAUACAAUGCAAAGCGCGAGAUAAAACAAGUAAACAUACAUCCAAUCAACCAAUCAUACAUUCGUGAGCGAGGGAGUAGUUUGAGACGCGAGUGAGGCAAAGGGUCCUAAAAAGGGAAAAUGCAACCCUAAUAUCCAUAUGCCAUGCAUAAAAAAGGGUAGAAAAAGGAAACGAAUGACUAAGUCAAAUGCUUGGACCCACUUAGGAAGUCCCCAGUGGAGUCGCCAACUGUCGCGCCCCACUUUUUGAUGUGUGUCUGAGUAGUGUGUGGGAUAUGUAUGUGAACGUGUGUAAAAGUAAAAAUAAAAGGCCGUGAGACUUGAAAAUGCGACGAUUUGGCCAAAUAAAGUUCAAAAAGGGUUUUUGGAUGAAAAAUGGAGUCGCCACUUGGUAUGGAGUUAGGGUGUACCAAGUCACCCAAAAAUGAUUUUGUUUUGUUUUUGAAAGAAAAAGUAAACAAACCCUUUUGAAGAACUUUUAGGUCUACAUAACCAAAGAAAGGGAUCGGGGGUCACAUUUGAUAAGGGAGAAGGCAAAGGCAAAGCCUAAGGCACUCCCUUACCCUAGCCAAAGCUAGUUGCAUGACUUAGCCCCACUUUUCCUAAUUUUUCUACCCAAGGUAUGUAUCGCAUGUUGGAUAUGACUAAUGGAUGCGAAAAUGAAAGAAAAAUGCAAUCCUAAAUCUAAAAUAUUUCUCAUGAGGCUUUUAGGUCCCAACCACAUGAAUUGUGGUGGCCAAUAAGGAUAGCUCUCAUGGAAGUCGUGAUUAAUGCAAGUGAGGACUCAAGUGCAAGCGUGCAAGUGUGCAAGUGUGAGAAAAUAAAGGUGCUUGUGUGUGCAAAUGAAUAAAAAUAGGAUAUUAGAUACGUAUAAGUGCAAUUUGAAUGCCAUUUGUGAGGUAGAAAAAUAAAUGAGGGAUAGGAAAAAGGUGGUGAGAAAAUGGAUUGAGAAAAAUCUAAGUAGUGAGAAAAUGUGGCUAAAAGAGUUAGGAGGUGAUAUAAAAAGAAUGCAAGUGUAUGACCCUAAGGGAAUGCAGCAGGUCGGGCACGGGAAGGACUCCUAACUUUACGACUUUGAUUUUCCCUUGGAUUAGAAGGAAGAACUAGCGUGCUAAGGCUAUUUUGUAGCCAAACUCGCUCGUUUCCCUUAUCGAAAGGGGACUCUCAAGCAAAUGUCCCUAUAACUAGCAUGAGGAUGCAAAAAACCUAAAAUGAGGGGAAAAGGAUUGGAGGAGCAUGCCAAAUGAUAAAAAAAACUAAGAAAAAUGCAUGGAAUGUAGUGAACAUGCAGGUAUGCACUAACGAAAGGGAAAUCCCUAAGGGUCUAGCGUUGGACUAGCCCUUUCUAUGAAUUCCUAACGGAAUAAUGAGCCACAACUAGCAUUGGACUAGUGUGGUGACGUACAUUCAUCCAUCACAUAACAAUAACCAAAUCUAAAACCAAAUUAUACAUGUGAAGCAAGUAGAGUUAUUGUCAUCCACAUCGUAAUGAAACCAUAAGCAAACACGCUCAGCAACUC